UCUCAUUCUUAGCUGUGCAACGUUACGCCGCAAGUUGCACACGUUCGACAUUCCUCCGCGUGCCGCUCGCCGAGGGUGCUAAUUGAUUACGCAAGCCAUUCGCUCGAGAAGUUGGAGACCCUUUCGCUCCGGAUCGUAGGGCACGUUCGAUAAGAUGGAUAAAUAAAUGUUAUUUUCAAGAUACGUGGGGAAUUUCGUUUUAAGAAUCCCCUAGGCAGCGCGUAGUUCAAGCGACGACGAGUAUAUACGUCGGAGGGAGGGCAGACUCUCCUGUUAUGAAUUUUACGAAAAAGGAAAGUCUAUGUUCUGAAGCCUGAAUUAUCCUCAAGCUAAUAAACGAGCGUAAAUUCUACGAUACAAUAUGGCAAGACCAUCGGCGAGCCAUCAAGAAAUUAUUCUGGAGAAUGCAACAAUUAACGUUAAUCACCGCUUAAAUGGGUAAAAAGAAGGGCACAAUGGCAAUGGACAAUUAGCCUGUGCGUCUCGCUCCUGGCGCAUGAUCACCGUGCAAACGCUAAGAGCAGGUCUCGCCACUCCUCAUUCGCCGGGUUCUAAUCGACCUUAAUUUCCCCGUGAAACACUAAAUCUACCCUCAAACGGGUUGCCUGGCUAGCCUCAAUAAACCAAGAAGGGAAACGGCUUCGAACACCGAUCAUUACCGUCUCAGUUCAGCUUGCACCGAUCUCAGCUCACCAUGGGCUCGCCUUCGGAUUCCGCAUACUAUUUAUUACAGCGUAACAAUAUCUUUCAUUACCUUUACCUAUAAUAACACCUAUUCAUCUUUGAGAGCCGCUCUCCUUUCCCUGGAACCGUUUCUUUCCAGAGGAAUCCUCGUCGCGAUCCUCCAAUAUCACGCAUACAUAGAGAAAUGGUAGGCAGAGUGAAGGAGAAGAGGAAGAGAAAGAGGAGAAGAAGAAGAAGAAGAUGACGACGAAGGAAGAGAAGAUAGAGGAGGAGGAGGAGGAGGAGGAGGACAGGAGACAACAACGGUUGCUCCUGGACGGAGGACGAAGGAGGGCAAAAGCAGCCACGCCACAGAGGAUGAGGAUUCCCCUCGGCCAGCGAGCAGCGAGAGAAAGAGAGAGGGCCACCCACGUCGAGGGCGCAAAGGCGAUAUUUAGCGGAAGGCAAAUCUCUCUGGGGCCACCCACGUCGGCUCCUUGGUUCGUCGUCGGGGCUACCUUAUUUCAGGGUGCAACCAAGACGGCUGUGUUGCCUCUCUGUGCUACGGUGCGUGAGCCACUAGCACGGUAGACGCGAUACUCCAGGGACGACCGAUCCAGUCACAGUGCCCUGAUUCCUUUCGAUGUUAUCCCGAAUGACAGCCACGAAAUUUGUCGGGUAUCGUUGGACAAGAUAGUAGACCUGAAAAACAGGAUCUUUGCUUGGCCAAACGAUGCGUUUGGAAGAUACAGGUUUCUACGUACACUAUCGUGCGUUGGUGUUUGCACGUUUCCGAAUUGGGAACAAUAAACAGAUACGACACACUGCGAAGAAUUGGCAGCAUUUUGUACAUUUGUAUAUAUUUUGUAUAUACCAGUGUAUAUAUACAGUAGGCUAGGAGUUUUGAAAGCGACAGGUGUGUACAGUAACUUGCUCGGCGAUGUUGAAACACGUCAGUAGUGUACAUGAUGAGGAUAAAGGUUCAUCACGUUGUGCUAGUCAUCGCAUAUGUACGUAUUUUUUCUUUUGCACUAACAUCUUUUGCUUUAUUUACGCGAUUUUCAUUCGCGUAAAACGGAUCCAGUGUACAAUGUUAGUUAACAAGUGUAACUGAGUAACAGAGUGUACAGUGCAUAAACCACCUACUUACUUGCCAACGCACAGUCCAAACCGUUGUACCUAGAAACGUGAAAUUUGGAUGGUAUACAUGUUUUAUGACGUAGGCGUGGGGUAACAUAAAAUUUUUGCAAAUACGAACCCUGGGAAGGAUAAAAAAGGGUAACCUUUUUUUUUUUAAAGGACAUACAUAUCUCACGAGUUGCUGGGAUUAGUCACGUGAAAUUCGACACGCUCACUACUCAUUGAAGGUAAACAAACACGUGUUCGAGCGUUUUUGAAAAUUCAAUUCCUAACGGGUGUUCCAACAGAGGGUAACACAGAAAUUCGAGUAUCAUGUAGCUAGUAUGUUAUAGUAUAUGGCAGCUAGUUGGAAUAAAUAAAAGAGCGAUGAUUGAAGGUGAAUGGAAAUUGUUUCUACAGAUAUCUAAGUUAAAUGAAUUUGAGUUAAGUCUGUUCGAUAUUGUUAACAUCAGCUAUUCAUCACAGAUGAUUAUUACUCGUUUCAGUUUUGAUUUAACAGAAAAUUUGAAGUAGACAUUGAACACUAAAGAAACACUUCUUCUAUUGCAGUGUUGAAAAUGUAUUAAAAAUAUCAGUGUUUCGUUUGGAUUGCUGGAAAUACUUGUGCAGAGUGGUGGACAUAAAUCUUCACUCACGCAAUUAGUAUGGCGCUUAUUUGGCAAUUAGUACAACAAUGUGAAUAUGAACGAGGUAUAUACAGAA
Long non-coding RNA from Bombus pyrosoma, 2505 nucleotides. RefSeq lists it as uncharacterized. The transcript has 4 exons. Lineage: Eukaryota; Metazoa; Arthropoda; Insecta; Hymenoptera; Apidae. The record is from RefSeq and is a predicted model, not a curated record.